This is a long non-coding RNA of Hemicordylus capensis (graceful crag lizard), 325 nucleotides long. RefSeq lists it as uncharacterized. NCBI's taxonomy places the organism in Eukaryota, Metazoa, Chordata, Lepidosauria, Squamata, Cordylidae. The transcript has 3 exons. The record is from RefSeq and is a predicted model, not a curated record.
AGCUGUUGAUUUGCUCGCUGCCUGGUCGGGCAAGUACACUGUCCUGCUGGGCAUUGGGGAAGAGUCCCAACAAGUGGCUUUGUGAAAAGGCAGUUCCAUGGUAACAUUUCAGAAUGGCAGUCUUUCUCCUUGAGCACUGAGCUGCACAUGGUCACAAUGUGCAGCCCAAUCCUAAAUCUCAGACAUCUUUACUCAGAAUCUGGCAUAUCACUGACUUCCUGACUGCAGCAAAUGAAGUCCUACCAAGCAACUGCAAGAGGCUGAAGCUUCAUAUACCUCCUAGGACUAUUCUGCAGCAAAUGUGGAGAAUCCAAGCCAACGGAAG